Molecule: transfer RNA, 88 nt
Filed under: Acidobacteriota bacterium
Lineage: Bacteria; Pseudomonadati; Acidobacteriota
Description: Acidobacteria bacterium (bioreactor metagenome) tRNA-Ser
Rfam family: tRNA
About the family: Transfer RNA (tRNA) molecules are approximately 80 nucleotides in length.
Source: RNAcentral
GGGGCGGACGUGUCUGUCGGUUUGGCACAGCGGCCUGCUAAGCCGCGACCCGCAAGGUCCGAGGGUUCGACUCCCUCCCGCCCCGCCA